UACGUAGGUGGCAAGCGUUGUCCGGAAUUAUUGGGCGUAAAGCGCGCGCAGGCGGUUCCUUAAGUCUGAUGUGAAAGCCCACGGCUCAACCGUGGAGGGUCAUUGGAAACUGGGGGACUUGAGUGCAGAAGAGGAGAGCGGAAUUCCACGUGUAGCGGUGAAAUGCGUAGAUAUGUGGAGGAACAUCAGUGGCGAAGGCGGCUUCCUGGCUUAAAACUGACACUGUGGCGCGAAAGCGUGGGUAGCAAACAGG
RNAcentral lists this ribosomal RNA (253 nucleotides) under uncultured bacterium. Its description in RNAcentral is "partial 16S ribosomal RNA". It matches the Rfam family "Bacterial small subunit ribosomal RNA", at positions 524 to 776 of the family's 1533-position model. The record is from RNAcentral.